Long non-coding RNA from Malaya genurostris, 561 nucleotides. RefSeq lists it as uncharacterized. The record is from RefSeq and is a predicted model, not a curated record. Lineage: Eukaryota; Metazoa; Arthropoda; Insecta; Diptera; Culicidae. The transcript is spliced from 4 exons.
UUUAAUUUUGACAUUACGAGUUACUGAGAGGUAGUUAAAUUUACGAUACAGUUUUAAAAGUGAGUGGCAGGUCGUGUCGUCGGUCGCACCUUUCGAACUAGUUGACAUUGAAUCAAAGCAUAUUUAUUUUUCAUAUUAUUCACGUCAAAGACAUUCUACUGCACAUGAUGAAAAUUGAAUCAAUACUGAAGCAAAUUGAAUGAGAAGGUUCUCUCGCGAAGGGGGAGCAAACCAAUCCUUGGGACCUUUUUUUUGCUCGUCCAAGUCAUCUUACCGAAAAUGAAGUUUUUACUCACUAAACCAGCGAUGGGGGCGGCAAAUCUUAUUUUGCUCCGGGCGCCAAAUUUUCUUUGUACGCCAUCCAGUUGAACAGUAGCACUAAUAUGUAUGUGAUUACAUUAAAAAGAGCUUUUUAUGGUUAACUCAAUUUGUUGAAAAAUUUCCGAUCGUAUUUCCGAUCAAGAACUUAGCACUCUCCCAUAAAAUCUACCCUAAACCAAACUGCGGCCCGACUACUUCGGUUAGGUCCAACACAUGUAACCUACAUGUUCAAUAUUUGUG